Molecule: ribosomal RNA, 463 nt
Filed under: uncultured bacterium
Lineage: Bacteria
Description: partial 16S ribosomal RNA
Rfam family: Bacterial small subunit ribosomal RNA
Source: RNAcentral
GACGAACGCUGGCGGCGUGCUUAACACAUGCAAGUCGAACGGUGAACCUCUUCGGAGGGGAUCAGUGGCGAACGGGUGAGUAACACGUGGGCAACCUGCCCCCGGCUCUGGGAUAACUCCAAGAAAUUGGGGCUAAUACCGGAUGUUCACCGCUUCCCGCAUGGGUGGUGGUGCAAAGGGUUUCCGGCUGGGGAUGGGCCCGCGGCCUAUCAGCUUGUUGGUGGGGUAGUGGCCUACCAAGGCGACGACGGGUAGCCGGCCUGGGAGGGGGACCGGCCACACGGGGACUGAGACACGGCCCAGACUCCUACGGGAGGCAGCAGUGGGGAAUAUUGCGCAAUGGGCGGAAGCCUGACGCAGCGACGCCGCGUGGGGGAUGACGGCCUUCGGGUUGUAAACCUCUUUCAGCAGGGACGAAGCGCAAGUGACGGUACCUGCAGAAGAAGCACCGGCCAACUACGUG